UAAUAAAAAUAGAAAAAGGGCAGUUGCUUGCAACAACUACCCAAUGCAGAACCGUUUGAGACGGUGGCUGGUUUUAUAGUUAAAAGAUA
RNAcentral lists this small RNA (89 nucleotides) under Streptococcus equi. RNAcentral describes it as "RNA anti-toxin A". It matches the Rfam family "RNA anti-toxin A". Lineage: Bacteria; Bacillati; Bacillota; Bacilli; Lactobacillales; Streptococcaceae. The record is from RNAcentral.